Molecule: non-coding RNA, 11415 nt
Organism: Ictidomys tridecemlineatus (thirteen-lined ground squirrel)
Lineage: Eukaryota; Metazoa; Chordata; Mammalia; Rodentia; Sciuridae
Source: RefSeq, a predicted model, not a curated record
CCUCUUCAGCUGCUGUGACCGCAGUGGCCUUGCCCUCCUCCUCCUCUUCCUCCCACACAUUCACAGGUCACCUGUUACAUCCAGGGGCCCUCCUGGGUCCCUCCACACUCGUCUGCAAGGUUUUACAUCUGCCUCUUGCUCUUGGUUUUGCACAGAUGGGACAGAGAGGUCUGCAAAGUACCCCAGGUCUUUUUAUUUUCUACCAAGGAAGAGGUGUCCUGGCCUGUGUGUCAGCAGCUGCCCUCCUGGGGCCUGAGUUAGUGCCCCAAGUUACCUUAGUGUUUCUUAGGCAAACUGCACUCAGAAAUGUCAACUGCUUGGUGUCGGUCCUGGAGGUGGCCAGAUGAGCUGAGCUCGUAACUGGGAAGACACAGGGUCUUUGAGGUGGGCUGCAUGGUCAGCACCUGGAGCUAGUAUUUGGUUCCCAAGAGGCCAGGCUACCUAGCAGUAUCACAACCUGGAAAAGACCAGAACACUUCAAACCCUCCGGCACCACCCCCCCAUUGCAGGUGCUCCCCCGACUCUCUCUCAGGGAAGCUUUUUCCUCUUAGCAUCCACCUUCUUUGUGAUACCCGUGGUGACCAUGUUGACCGCCCCCAUACUGAGAGGCCCUGAGGCAGGGCAGUGUGGGAGAUGAAGGCAGAUGAGAAGGUCCCUCUCUUUGUCAGACCCAGAGACUGGGAAGCCUGUUGUGUAUCAGCCUGUGACUAGUUAGAGUGACAGGCACCCCUAGGAGGGCUGGGUGGUGGACGGGUUUGAAUGGGAGGGAUGGGGCACCAAGCCUGAGCCUCGUGAGACGAGUUGAAGUCUGUCAAGCAAGGCGAAGGGGAAAGGCACCACAGAAAUGCAGAGGCUUGACUACUGGGGACAGAGGACAAGUGGCACCGAGGGGCUGCACCAGUGGGCUGAGGCUACCCAGGCAGAGACGAGACUGGCCAGUGCUGCUUAGAUGGGAGUGGGUGCUGAACUCCAGGAUAAGGGGUGUGCUCUGUCAUGAGUGACUGGGAGCUGGGGAGGUGGUAGAGUGAGGGUUUGAGUUUUGAGACAAUUGCAGGUGGCCUUUUUUCCUGAUCCCCCCUGUGGAAUAGUGAAGAUGUGUAAAAUGUUCAGUUUCUGUGCAGGAAUGAACAGGGUUGUCCAGCUGUGACCUCCAGGCACCGAUUCUCUGAUUGCACUGCCUCUGCUGUAUGUACUGAGAGUCUCAGCACCGCCAGAUCCUCCCGCCUUGCUCCCCAGACCCGCUCCGCCGACCUUGUGGGGCUGGGAGGGAAAGCGAGGUAGCUGCUGGCUCCGGCACAGCCCUCGUGGACUCUGGCCAACAGGAAAUGGAGCGGGCAGUGUCCCAACCUGAUUCACCGAGCCGUGGGUCUCCCUGUGCUUCUGCAGGCGCCAUCACGCUGCUCCUGGCCUAAAAACAGUGUUCCCAGACCUACAUCCACAGCCGAGAGCCCAGGGCACGUGCUUGCCGGCCAGCUUCCCCCAGGGCGGCCUUAAUGGGCAGGAAAAGAGGGUCGGUGUCGGAACCCGAAGUGGCCACCACUGUGUGAUCAUUGACUUUGAAAUCAACAUGCCUGAUGGGUCAGGUGACUUCUGCAGCGCUGGCUGGACAGAAGGGACAGGAGGAAGCAUGUCCCUGGGAUCCCGGGCCGUCUGUCUUCCUCCUUCACCUUCUCAUCUCUAAGGGGAAGAGGGAAAAGGCCUUUUCCGCAAACUCUUUUCUGGACCGUGUGGCCCUGGCGAUGACAGGCGAUGGCCACACCGUGCCAAGGGCAGAGCACCCCAGGCAGUUUGCCCGCUUAUGAAGAGCUGCCUCCCUCCGCGGAGCUCCCGCCCUGGAUGUGGGCCUGGGAUGGGCGCGGAGCGGCAGCCACCCAUCUGUCCCAUUUACAGGUCAACAAACCGAGGCCUCGAGGCAGGAAGCAACGGGCCCAAGGUCGCACAGGGGAGCCGUGGCUGAGGGGGCAUCCCAUCAUUCUGAAGCUGGUCAUGAUCUCCGAGGCUGGCCAGGGCCCAGUGCUGGCACAAGGCCACCUAGAGAUGGACAGUCUGUACUCACGCUGCCCUGUUCCCAUGGGCACGGAGGACAUGGCUUUCUCCUUGUUCCUUUGCCCUUCCUCCUGGAAGCCAGGCCCAGAGCCAGGCCUGGGCAUGACCCCGAGCUCCCUGGCCCUGGGUUUGCUCCUCGGUUUCUGAAGCUCCGGGGGUUGUUUAAUGUAAGCGGGGGAAAGAAUGAAGUAGCGGGGCAGAGCCGCUGGUCACCAGGAUCUGCGCGUGCCUGGGAAGAGAAGGCAGUGCUGUCCGCGUGGAGCCCUGGCGGGGCUGGGCUGCGUCAUUUGAUUCUGGAAAGCCUGUCACCUGGGGGCUCUGCGUACUCUGCGGCUGGCCCAGAUCAUCUCUCAACAUCACCAUCAGUGCCCUCUGCUGUUAGUGACCGGCUGGGGGAUUCCGGGACCUGGCUCUCCAGCUGCUUCCCACCUCCUCAAGUAGCCUCUCCUGAAAGCCAUGAUGACGGUUCUGCUGGCUUCAAACAUUUCAAACCCUAAAGCCUGUAGGACUUUAUUGGGCACAUCUGUAAGAGCAGUUGCUGCUCGUAACGCGCCCGUCACAUCCCUGUGGAACAUGAAGGAAAUUUUUGCAAAAUUAUUAUUUUAGCCCCAAACUUUGUCAGCCUGUGGAUUAGGUCAGUGAUCUUGGGAGGAUCAUUAAUUAUUACAGUUUUGGAGUGAAGUAAUUUAGCUGCUGACAAAUUUCAUAGUUUUCCACCUUAUGGACUGUUACUUUGAGACCAUAGCUGUAAAAACUAGCCUUGUGGGAUGGGCACCCACCAGGAUGAGGGGUGAUAAAUCAGUUUGGAAAGUGCCUGGGUACCGUGCAGGCAGAUAUUUGGGGCAGGUUUUAUUAAGACAUUGUGAGCCUCUGACCUCAGCUGCUUCUCUUUUUUCUGGGAGGGGACCAAGCCCCUCCCCCAUUCUGCACUUGGCUGCCAGGUACUCUGUGCCUCCAUCCCACUGUUGGAGUCGCCGCGCGUCUUCAAGAUUCUGCCUGCUGUCCUGGCCGCGUGCAGGGUGUGCACCUGCUGUUUGAGGUCGUUCUCAGAGUCAGACUGGAGACUUGGACUAAUCUGGAUUUAAGUCCAAGUUCAUGCUCUCACUUGCUCUUUGGUUCUUGAAACAUUCUGCUUUAGGCUUUCUGAGCCCUGUUCUGUCUUCUGAAAAAUGGGCAUGAUAAUAGUAAUUAGUGAUAAUCGCAGCUUUUAUUCCCUGGGUACGUACUGUGGGUGGAGACCCUACGGAAACAGAGAGCCUUCCAUUCACUAGUUCGGUGAAUCUUUACGACAGCUCCAUAAAAUAGUUACUUUUGUUAUUAUUCCUGUUUCACAGAUGAAGAAACUAAAGCUUAAAGAGUAUUUAUUGCUGCAUACAAAAGUGCCUCCGAAUAGUGGCUUCAAACACUAGUAUUGGUGCAUUUUGCUCAGGAAGGUGGUCCUUUCCGAGAGCCUCACAUGAGGUCACAGCCAGGCUGGGGCUGGGGCUGGAACCAUCUGGAAGACUGCCUCACUCACAUGUUUGGCCGCGGGGGCUGGGAGGAGGCACAGAGCCUGGAGGCCGGAUGAGAAGCAACGCAGCUGAGACCUCACCAUCACUCUGCGUGGACUCUCCGCGUGGUCUCUCAGCAUGGAGGCAGGCAGGACAGCUGCACUUCCCGCCCCACGCGUGGCUCAGGGCUCCAUUGCACAUGUCCCAGGACCUAGCCCUGGGGAUCUGUCUGCACCACCUUUUAUGAUGGAGCCUUGCCGUCCUGCUGUGCCACCUCUGGCACAUGGUUAGAAACAAGUGACAAAGGCCAGCCCAUAUAGGGAGGCAGGGACAGUUAGACUCCAACCAAACCUUCUGAUGGGAGGAGCGUGGAAUUUGCAGCCUGUUUUAAGCUACCCGAGAGGACUGUGCACAGGCCAGCUGAGGAAGCAGAGCUCUGGACAUCUGCACUCCUGGCCCUCUGGUGGUUCUGUUCCCCAGGGAAGGAAGCAGAACCGGGUGAGGUGCAGUGCUGCUGCUCGGCUCUGGAGAGGCCUGGGUGCCAGCCACCAGUGCAGACCAGGCCUCACCCUCCUCCCCUCCUCCUACAGCCACGUUGGCCUUUUUUUGGCUUCUAACGACGUUUGCCUCCAUGGGCACCUUCCUCCAUUAAGAAAAAAAAAAUGGAAAAUUGUGUCCUGUGACAUGUGAAGUGAUUAAGAUGAGUGUAGGAAUGCGAUAUGUUACUUUUUGUUUCCAUCCCAGACUUCAUUAUUAUUAUUAUUAUUUUUAAUUUUAGAAGAAACUGAAGCAUUUUCGUGGGCUCUGGGCCUGUGCUUGCGGCAUCUGACCGAGGAGCCAGGCCUGCCCCCCACCACCACCUGCAGGCCCUCUCCCUUUCCCCGCCCUGCACUCACUCCUCUCCCCUGCGCCCUGCUGCAGGCCAGGCUUCUCUUCCAGACCCUCAACCCCCAGGAGCUUCUCUGUACACGGAGUGAGCCCCAGGACGGCUCCUGUGACUGAGCCCCCUCUCCUGUCCUCCCUCCACUGGGAAUGGAUCUGCCUGGUGAGAAGGGACAACUUCACUGUCAGCUCACAGAGCCACACCCCCGCCUGUCUCCUGCCUUGUCUGGGCAGGCAGAGCUGCAGAGAGCCCUCUCUCCCAGUCCCUGAAAGCUGGAGACUAGUAGGGAUGGCGUCCAGAGGUGCCCCACCUUGGGGCAAGAACCAGGCCUCCCCAGCCACUCGUCCAGCUGGAAGGACUUUCAUCGAGCAGCCAAGCCCAGGGUUUGGGUUUCACAAGGGCCACCUGGUGUCUGUCCUCAUAGAACUUAGAGGUUCAGAAAGACCAUCCCCCCAAAAAAAUAAACAAAUAAUUAUAGACAAAGGGGGGUGUGAUAAGGAAUUGGCAUUUCUUGGAAACCAAAGCAAGGAGUACUGUGUCUGCAUAGGACAGUCACCAGAGGAAGACCAGGACACUUUCCCCUGGAGCCCGAGGUCCUGCCGUGGGGGACCUGCCCCACCUCUCUUUCUACCCACACCCCCACUUUGACUCUCUUGUUGAUCUUCUGAGCACUUGGCCAAAUAAUGGCCCCUCCCCACCUCUUGACCUUGGGGCCUGUUUCAUGACCUACAAGGUGGCUGUGGCCAGCCCGUGGACACACCCAGAUGAGGAUGUUUGUUUAAUGGAGAAACUGGCCCAAGAUUCUCCAGUUUUAAUCUUCCCUCGGUCUCACCCUCAUAUGGUAACUAACUUUUUUUUUUUAAAUGGGAAGAUCUUAAUAUUGGAAUUUGUUUAAAGUGAUUAUUUUAAAUUAAUUCGUUAAUUAAAGCUGAUUAAUUAAAGUGCACCAUCCUGAAUUUCUCAUUUGAUUACUAAGACUUUGGUCACGCACGUGAAAAUGGUCUGUGGCUCACAGAGGGGACCCACGACGUAGGAGGCCUGGAGGUCACUCAGCAGUAAUGGCAGAAGGUGGACAAGAAGGGCUGACCUGUGUCCGCAGCCAGCUGAGGUUGGGGUACAGGGAAGUGACAUGAAGCUAGCCUAUGAUUCAGAAAGAUGGCCCUUUGGCGAUGUGAACAGUGAGUAACAUUUGCAAAUUAGAAAUCUGUGCCGGCCAACACUUUAAGUAGAGCAAAGGGUUCGACUUGAACUGACUGACUUCAGAAGACAUGUCCCCCCAGCUGCAGCCAAAGUCCCUCCCUGCCUGGCCCCCAGGGGGUCUGGAAUGGAGCCCUGUGCAUUACUCACUUCUGAGUCCAAAGACACAGGCUGGGGCGGUUAUGAGAAGGACCUUGACACUGAGUGUUGAUUCUCUCCCUGGUGAAAACCACUGGCUUAUAGAAUAACUUCUGCCUUCUCUCUGUGGGAAUCAUGAAUGUUGUUUGUGAAGCCCUCUCACCGCGCAGUGGGAUUUAACAACUCUGUGAGGCGUGUGAGCGGGACUGAGUGGCCCAGUGUGACCAAUGAGGGAAAAGGCUCAGACUGUGGGGGGGCGCUUGCCCAGGGUCACAGCUCCUCGGGAUGGAGCAGGAAUCUGCACCCGUGCUUUCUGCAGCCAGUCACCAUCACGUGUCCCUCUUGUGGUGCCCUUAGUGUGCCUGCAGGUGGGAGAGUUUUCUGGGCUUGGCUCCGUGUGUGUCCUAGCUGGGUUGAGUUUCCUACCGUCGCUCUAAUACUACCAUAGCCUAGGUGGCUUGAAGAACAGAAACCUACUGCCUAACAGUGUGAAGGGCAGAAGUCCAAACCCACCGUGUGGGUGGGGUCACGCUCACUGCAGGUUCCAGGGGAGGAGCCUCCGUAGCCUUUUCCUGGUUCAUGGCAGUGGCCCCUGUCCUUGGUGGCCCUUGGCUUGUGCAUGCAUCAUCCCGGCCCCAGCCCCGAUCGUCACACGUGCCGUCCUACGUCCAGCUCUCCCUAUGAAGGCACCAUCAUUGGAUGUAGGGCCCACCCUAGUCCAGAUGAGCUCAUUGUAACUUGAUUACAUCUGCAAAGGUGCUGUUUCCAUGUGGGGUCACAGGUGCCAGUCACUAGGACUUGAACAUCUUUUGGGGAGACCCUGUUCAACUUGUUACUUGGAGAGACUGCUGGGGGGCCCUAGUGGGCCCUCAGCCAGAAGGUUCUCUGAGUAGUCCAUGCUGUCCCACCACAGAGUCUUCACUGUCCCCUGCUCAGGUCACUUAAUUCAGCCCUGUGUCCCCCCACCCUCCCCCGUCCUCUGCCAGCAUGGGCGUGAGUCUGUGCUGCCGGCUUGGAGCCCAUGGGAACAGGUUGUGCUGCUUUGGCAUCUGCUUGGGAUGCUGCCAAAGCCUGGGCACAGUGAGUGGGUGGCAGCUUGGACUCUGUGUGUACUGAGAAGCAGGGCCACCCCCGCCUGCAUAUGUCCCCUUCCUUGGGGCCUCUGGCUGCACUUGGUGUGUUAUCAAGUCAAGGUAUGGCUUGGACCUCAGGUGGCCAAGGGGCCGCUGUGUCUGGGGAAGCAUCCGGAGCUCAGGUGGACAGUGAUCGGCUUCUUCCCCACCAGGAGCCAAGCGUUGCUGGUGCAGGGCUGUCUGGCUGAGUCUGUUUCCCUCCAGCCCAGUGGGAGGCAUAUGGGAGUUUUCAUGUGUCUGCAGCCAGGGGACUCGGUGAGCGUCCCUUGGAUGAGUCUUUUUGCUCUCUGAGCACCAUGCAGGGCUGCUGUGGCAUUCAAUGAGAUGACGCCUAUUAAAACAGGGCCCUGAUAAAUGCCACCUGCCUGCACUGGAACCUGGGGGGUGCUUGGCCGAGGAGCAGAGUCCAAGAUGGCACCUCCCUCUGUCUGCUGCAGGAUGGUGCUCCGUGGCCCCCAUGGGAGCUGCUCACAGGAACAGGUGGUAGGCCUGGACAAGGAGGUGUUCCCGAAGGAAACUUCUUGCCCUUGCCAAUGCGUGCCUGAAGGGGCAUUGUGUUCCCCUUCCCUCCAGGCCGAGGUGAUAGUGGCCACUUGGUGGGGAGGUUUCUCGCUCAACACCAGAGAGAGGGAACAGGGGCCCUCUGGAAUCUGGUGAUGGUUUUAUGCUGAGGACUAGAGGAAACCUAAGAGGGUGGUGUGAAAGGGGAAAGGAACCGUCCCAUGGGUAGUAUGAGAGGCAGCCUGGGUCACCUGCAUGUGGAGGACAGGAAUCCAAGGUUUUAGGACACAGGAGCCUGGAGCAACCUGGCCAAAAAAUAUUGACUCCACGGCUCUUAAGGAAAAGUUUUCUGCAAAGUGGAUCCGGGGCAGCAUGACCCCUAACUCUUCUCAGUUCUGAGGGCUUGAAUCUGUCCUCACUUCCUGUGUGUGACUUUGAUCCCCAAAGCUGCCUGAUGACCCCCGAGGGCUUUGGCUGCUCCUGAAAGACCACAGGCUUUACCCAGCAGGCAGCAGAGGGCCGGGGGUAUAGCAGGUGCUCAGGUUACAAUAACAGAGGAGCCCUGGUGCCCAGGACAGCUUGCUUAAGCACUGGGAGUUCUCAGCAGAGCUGCAUGGUCCUCCUGGAGACAGUUUUAAAUGCUGGUGUCUGGGCCCCUCACUGUGUUAUGCUGCGGCAGGUCUGGGGUGGAGUCUGGGCACCAGUUUCUUUGAAAGCUCCCCAUGGAUGCUGCAUCCAGGGUUAGGUUCCCCCCCAGCUCCAGGGUGUGGCUGCCUUGUGUGGGCACUUGUCCUUCUCUAUUGAGUCUGUUUCACCAUUUGCAAAUGACCCCGUGGAGAUGAGUAGGUAGUGGUUCCAGUGAGUGCCAGGCACCCAGGGACACCUGGCUGCUGGCGAGUGCAAGUGGCAUGCUGGUUUUGCUCUGCUUUGAUGGACAGCGUUCGCUUGUGCUCAGGGAAGUCAGCAGAUUCCCAAGAGAGGGAAGAGAGGCGGCGGCUGCUGAUGAGAUGGUGUGAGCUGGGUUGGCCCUGGGCCAGGUAUGCUCUUCAGGUCCAGAGGGGUGUUGACAGUGUUUGCAAGAAUGCAUCUUCUCGGUGUAGGUUUCCUUUGGGUGAAAAAUGCCAUUUUGUCAUAAAUUCCUCUCCUUGAGAAGAGCCAGCGCAGGUGUGUUAAUGAGCUCUCACUGAACACACACUAUGUGCCACAUCUGUGCAAGGGCUUGGGGACCCUAAAUGAGUUCUACAAAUUAGAUGAAGUCAUGCCCUGUUGGAGCCCAUGUUGGAGUCAUGCCCUGUUGGUCCCCCUCCCCGGCGCCAUAACAGGAAAAGGGCCACCAGGGAGAGGUUUGUCCCUGACAAUCAGGGCUUCAGAGCCUGUGUGCAGCAGCGUGUGCAGGGGCCCCUGGCAACCAUCAUGCUCAUGGGAACAUUUUUUUUCUUGCUCCCAGUUGACUGAGAAAGGAGAUUUGGAACCAGGCCAGUGCCCUUCUGCCGGUGAAGAGCCCUGGGUCUGUAGAUUGUUGGGUUUCGACGUAAAGCAGAAAGUCCGCAAGGCCGUGCCUGAGAGAGCAAGCCUCCCUGCAAGUCCUGCUUCCCUUCGUACAUUGCAGAGCUUCGGAGAUUGUAACGAGGUGCCUGCCAGCCGCACAGCAACGUCAGAGGGGAUGUGGUGGCGUCCUAGGGAGGUUAGCCUGACGCGGAAGAUAAAGACAUUUGCAACCAAGAUGGUAAUCACCAGUGGAAAUGACGAGGACAAAGGAGGCCAAGAAAAAGAGAGUAAAGAGGAAAGUGUCCUGGCGAUGCUGGGCAUCAUUGGGACCAUCCUGAACCUCAUCGUCAUCAUCUUCGUGUACAUUUACACCACCCUGUGAAUGGCCCAGAGCCCCUGGGGGCCUCGGGAUGGCCUCGAGACAGGAGUCCUGUGGGUUCACAGGUCAGUGACCAGAGGCCGUGAGGACAGGAAGCUCGACCUACACACCCCGCUCCAUCCAAUGCACCCUCGAACUUUAUAAAAAGGUCACAAAUAAACCGAUCCUGCUGCAAGGAGCAGACACUAAAGCACAAUGAACCCAACAAAACUCAUUCACGCCACAAGGAACUCAGCGUCUUUGGCGGGGGGCCCAGGAGGAGGCUUGGAAGACCAGCCUUGGGCACCGGUGGUGAGCGCAUGGGUGCAGAAAUUCAUCAUCCCAGAUCGCUGACGACACCGUGCUGGAAAAGAUGAACGGGGCAGGCGCAGCUCAGCUGAGCAUCUCCCUGGACCAGCGUUCCCUCCGGUCUCCUUGAGCGGUCGAGUGCAGUAGACCACGGGGCAGUCCUCCAACAGGCAUCCCAUUCAUCACAAGUGUCUAACUAUUUGAUACCUGGGAGAUGACUUAUUUUUCUUUUUUCCAUUGGCUUGAUGUGUGUAUCUGUUCAUAUCAAGGUUUAUAAAUAUAUAUUUUUAAUAAAUGUGCUCUAUUUUUUAGCAUGAACCAAAUAUUUGGAGAGGCACUUCUAGAUGGAUAGUGCUUCCCUGCUUUUAACCGCUUUGCCCGCUCAUCUGCAAAAGUUCUUUUCUGUAUCCAUUCUAGUCCUCUGGUCUCCUGUUGAAUCUUUUACCUUUGCACUCUUGUUUCUCUCUCUCUCUCUCUCUCUCUCUCUCUCUCGUCAGGAGGACAUUUUUCCAUACUACCAACCAUGGUCUUUGUUGGUGCAUGUUGUAAGAGUGUCCAUUGAGCGGCUUUUUGUUAUACUGGAGAUAUAAAAUGAUCGUGGGCAUGCAGGCCAUAGAUGCACCCUAUCUGUACCGAGAAUUAUGCAUGAACAUUGGCUGAGUGAUCGGUGAGCUGUAAAGAAAUUUCAAAGGACUACCGUUGAGGAAGAGGAGUGUGGCUCUAAUGGCAGAUGGACUCCUGGACAGAACAUUCCAGCGUCUUACUGGCUGCGUUGUUAUCUCAUCCUCGUAACCAUUCGUUUAUCAGGUUUGGGUUUCCAGGACUGAGAGGUGGGAAGGGCCGAGGUGGGGGCUCAGCAUUGGGUGCCCUAGACAGACGUCCUGGUCCUCUUUAAAGCUGGCAGGGUAUAAAUGACAUACACCCUCCCUAUUGCGAGGACACCCUUGGGACAGCAGCCUUUCAAGGGCAGUAGAAGGAGGUUCCGUGAUGGCCCUAACAGAUUGCUGCGUUUCUUGGAGCUCUUGGUUUUCACCUACGUGGAGUACCUCCUCCCUGGCAGGUGGAGUGAUACAGACUCGCCCUCUUCUGGUUGCCCGUAUGGAGCCCUCGCCUGCCUGCAGUGCCUGGCCUUAAAAUGAGGGUCCCUGAUCUUUCUGCCAGUCUGCCUGGUUGACUUUAAAUGAUGCCAAGGAGGUCUCUGCCUCCUGUCUUCCCCUCCUUCCCGAAAUUCCACCAAUAGAGAACCAUUUCUUGGGCUCUGCCAAGGGACCAGACUCUUAUAAAGCAAAUGCCCCUGAGCACCUUUCCCUGACACCAAUUGAUCAGGUACCUUCCCUUCUCUUCUCCAGAAGGAGGGAAGCUAAGGUGUGUUGAGGCCACACUGGGUGCCAGGCAGGCACUUGGUAUGCAAGUCACGGAACCCUCCUCGUAGCCGCGUGAAAGAGGGAGUCUUUCCCCAUGUUGUAGAAGAGAGAUCGGGAGACUCCCCAAGAUCCUGGGGCUGGAGUGGAGUCAGAACUCCAACCGCCUUCCGUCUGGUUCCUUAGCUGAGUGAGGCCCAGGUGGCUGGAACAGAGAGGACGUGGAGGUGAGGAGGUCCCAGGAGGGUCAGGACUCAAAAGCCCGUCCUUCUGCUGAGGUCCAGCCCUGCACACCUCCCUCCCCCUCCCCAGUAAAAGUAAACCACCCCUGGGAGCUCCUCAGGCUCUAGCAGGAUGUCCCACAAAUCAGGACAAAAGGGUGGUGAGAAAUAAAAGAGCUGCCAGGGAGAGGGGCUCUCUGACCGGUGUGUGUGACUCUGGAAAGACCAUGUGAAAUUCCAACAGUGAACAGAUAAACAAUAAAGGUGCAAUGGAAAAAAAAAAAAAAAAA